AAAAAAGUGGAGAGAUUUUGAGUUAGUAUGCCUGCAUUAGCCAACAGUUAAGUCUAGCGUUUACCCGUGACAACUGAUGAUCUUCUUCUCCUGUGUGCUCCAGUUGUGAUACUCUGAGUACUGAGUUAAUGACGUGAAGAACUAUAGAGCUGCAGUGUGCUGACGUAAACUCAAAUCUAAGCUGAAGGAGAAGUUCCAAAAGCGGGACACCCAACCCAUCUGAAUCAGAUCGACACAGAGCUCUACAUCCCAGAGGAAGGAACUGGAGAGAUCUGGUCCACUUCUCUCCCGGCUUCACCCACACGCCGCCGGUUGGGUUAUCCAUCACGUACUCCAGCCCCCCGGUGUCGCAGCGGCUUUGGGGCCAGGAAUGGUGUGUUGACUUCUCCAGUGCCCGGCACGAGUGAAGAUAGGCGGACUGACUGGUCACCUUCCUCUGUAUGUGAACAACGGAGGCUGGAGUAGAACAUGAGUCCAUUCUCUGAUACAUGUCCACUGCGCCAAAGCGGUGGAAAACCACCCUGGCUUCUAUGGAGGAUUUGGAGCCGUGCUGUCCCAUAUUGUUACUUAAAUUGAAAACAAUCCAAGAAAAUAAAAAAAAAAACAA
Molecule: long non-coding RNA, 607 nt
Organism: Seriola dumerili (greater amberjack)
Lineage: Eukaryota; Metazoa; Chordata; Actinopteri; Carangiformes; Carangidae
Exons: 3
Source: RefSeq, a predicted model, not a curated record